GAUGAACGCUGGCGGCGUGCUUAACACAUGCAAGUCGAACGAGAAAUGGAGACGGAAACCUUCGGGCGGAAGGCUUCAUUUCGAGUGGCGGACGGGUGAGUAACGCGUGGGUAACCUGCCUCAUACAGGGGGAUAACAGUUGGAAACGACUGUUAAUACCGCAUAAGACCACAGCACCGCAUGGUGCGGGGGUAAAAACUCCGGUGGUAUGAGAUGGACCCGCGUUCGAUUAGCCAGUUGGCGGGGUAACGGCCCACCAAAGCGACGAUCGAUAGCCGAUCUGAGAGGAUGACCGGCCACUUUGGGACUGAGACACGGCCCAAACUCCUACGGGAGGCAGCAGUGGGGAAUAUUGCACAAUGGGGGAAACCCUGAUGCAGCGACGCCGCGUGAGUGAAGAAGUACUUCGGUAUGUAAAGCUCUAUCAGCAGGGAAGAAAAUGACGGUACCUGAGUAAGAAGCCCCGGCUAACUACGUG
Molecule: ribosomal RNA, 478 nt
Filed under: uncultured bacterium
Lineage: Bacteria
Description: partial 16S ribosomal RNA
Rfam family: Bacterial small subunit ribosomal RNA
Source: RNAcentral